This 440-nucleotide ribosomal RNA is filed under the name Staphylococcus epidermidis. Its description in RNAcentral is "bacterial SSU rRNA". It matches the Rfam family "Bacterial small subunit ribosomal RNA", at positions 1012 to 1453 of the family's 1533-position model. Lineage: Bacteria; Bacillati; Bacillota; Bacilli; Caryophanales; Staphylococcaceae. The record is from RNAcentral.
UUUCCCCUUCGGGGGACAGAGUGACAGGUGGUGCAUGGUUGUCGUCAGCUCGUGUCGUGAGAUGUUGGGUUAAGUCCCGCAACGAGCGCAACCCUUAAGCUUAGUUGCCAUCAUUAAGUUGGGCACUCUAAGUUGACUGCCGGUGACAAACCGGAGGAAGGUGGGGAUGACGUCAAAUCAUCAUGCCCCUUAUGAUUUGGGCUACACACGUGCUACAAUGGACAAUACAAAGGGCAGCGAAACCGCGAGGUCAAGCAAAUCCCAUAAAGUUGUUCUCAGUUCGGAUUGUAGUCUGCAACUCGACUAUAUGAAGCUGGAAUCGCUAGUAAUCGUAGAUCAGCAUGCUACGGUGAAUACGUUCCCGGGUCUUGUACACACCGCCCGUCACACCACGAGAGUUUGUAACACCCGAAGCCGGUGGAGUAACCAUUGGAGCUAGC